UAUUGGACAAUGGGCGAAAGCCUGAUCCAGCAAUGCCGCGUGAGUGAUGAAGGCCUUAGGGUUGUAAAGCUCUUUUACCCGGGAUGAUAAUGACAGUACCGGGAGAAUAAGCCCCGGCUAACUCCGUGCCAGCAGCCGCGGUAAUACGGAGGGGGCUAGCGUUGUUCGGAAUUACUGGGCGUAAAGCGCACGUAGGCGGCUUCGUAAGUCAGAGGUGAAAGCCUGGGGCUCAACCCCAGAACUGCCUUUGAGACUGCGAGGCUAGAACGUCGGAGAGGUGAGUGGAAUUCCGAGUGUAGAGGUGAAAUUCGUAGAUAUUCGGAAGAACACCAGUGGCGAAGGCGGCUCACUGGACGACUGUUGACGCUGAGGUGCGAAAGCGUGGGGAGCAAACAG
Molecule: ribosomal RNA, 396 nt
Filed under: uncultured bacterium
Lineage: Bacteria
Description: bacterial SSU rRNA
Rfam family: Bacterial small subunit ribosomal RNA
Source: RNAcentral